CCUGCGGGUGCUUACCAUGCAAGUCGAACGGAGAUUCAGCAAUGGAUCUUAGUGGCGAACGGGUGAGUAACGCGUAGGCAAUCUGCCUUCUAGAUGGGGACAACAUCCCGAAAGGGGUGCUAAUACCGAAUGUUGUAAUUGGUUCGCAUGGACUAGCUACUAAAGGUGGCCUCUGAAUAUGCUACCGCUAGAAGAUGAGCCUGCGUCUGAUUAGCUAGUUGGAGGGGUAACGGCCCACCAAGGCUUCGAUCAGUAGCCGGUCUGAGAGGAUGAACGGCCACACUGGGACUGAGACACGGCCCAGACUCCUACGGGAGGCAGCAGUGGGGAAUCUUCCGCAAUGGACGAAAGUCUGACGGAGCAACGCCGCGUGAGUGAAGAAGGUUUUCGGAUCGUAAAGCUCUUUCGUUAGGGACGAACGUGCUCUUUGUGAAUAAUGAGGAGUAAUGACGGUACCUAAAUAAGAAGCCACGGCUAACUACGUGCCAGCAGCCGCGGUAAUACGUAGGUGGCAAGCGUUGUCCGGAAUUAUUGGGCGUAAAGCGCGCGCAGGCGGGAUAUCAAGUCUGUCUUAAAAGUGCGAGGCUCAACCUCGUGAGGGGACGGAAACUGGUAUUCUUGAGUGUCGGAGAGGAAAGUGGAAUUCCAAGUGUAGCGGUGAAAUGCGUAGAGAUUUGGAAGAACACCAGUGGCGAAGGCGACUUUCUGGACGAUGUCUGACGCUGAGGCGCGAAAGCUAGGGGAGCGAACGGGAUUAGAUACCCCGGUAGUCCUAGCCGUAAACGAUGGGUACUAGGUGUAGGGGGUAUCGACCCCUCCU
Molecule: ribosomal RNA, 820 nt
Filed under: uncultured Anaerovibrio sp.
Lineage: Bacteria; Bacillati; Bacillota; Negativicutes; Selenomonadales; Selenomonadaceae
Description: bacterial SSU rRNA
Rfam family: Bacterial small subunit ribosomal RNA
Source: RNAcentral